GACGAACGCUGGCGGCGUGCCUAACACAUGCAAGUCGAGCGGGGUUGAGGCGAGAGGUAACUCGAGCUUCUACCUAGCGGCGGACGGGUGAGUAACGCGUGGGCAACCUGCCUCAAGGUUUGGGAUACAGCCCGAAAGGGCUGCUAAUACCGGAUAUGCCUAUGGCCUCGCAUGGGGCUAUGAGCAAAGGGGAAACCCGCCUUGAGAUGGGCCCGCGUCCCAUCAGCUAGUUGGUGAGGUAACAGCUCACCAAGGCGACGACGGGUAGCCGGCCUGAGAGGGUGACCGGCCACACUGGGACUGAGACACGGCCCAGACUCCUACGGGGGGCAGCAGUGGGGGAUCUUGCACAAUGGGCGAAAGCCUGAUGCAGCGACGCCGCGUGAGCGAAGAAGGCCUUCGGGUUGUAAAGCUCUGUCUGGAGGGACGAACAAAAUGACGGUACCUCCGGAGGAAGCCACGGCUAACUACGUG
RNAcentral lists this ribosomal RNA (474 nucleotides) under uncultured bacterium. Its description in RNAcentral is "bacterial SSU rRNA". It matches the Rfam family "Bacterial small subunit ribosomal RNA", at positions 28 to 507 of the family's 1533-position model. The record is from RNAcentral.